RNAcentral lists this unclassified non-coding RNA (384 nucleotides) under uncultured Phycisphaeraceae bacterium. RNAcentral describes it as "contains 16S-23S intergenic spacer region". The record is from RNAcentral. Lineage: Bacteria; Pseudomonadati; Planctomycetota; Phycisphaerae; Phycisphaerales; Phycisphaeraceae.
UCCGGUUUGACACCGGCAGUCUCGCUAGAGUCCCCGACAUGACUCGCUGGCAACUAGCGACAGGGGUUGCGCUCGUUAAGGGACUUAACCCGACACUUCACAGCACGAGCUGACGACAGCCAUGCAGCACCUGUGCACGUUCCACCCAAAGGGCGUCACCACCGUUUCUGAUGGCUAAUCCGUGCAUGUCAAACCCUGGUAAGGUUCUUCGCGUUGCUUCGAAUUAAGCAACAUGCUCCACCGCUUGUGUGAGCCCCCGUCAAUUCCUUUGAGUUUUAGCCUUGCGACCGUACUCCCCAGGCGGUGCACUUAACAAUUUCUCUCCGGCCAUGACGGCGUCAAAACCGCCACGGCCUAGUGCACAUCGUUUAGGGCGUGGACUAC